AACUGAUACUACCUGCGGGAACCUGCGGAGGGAUCAUUAAUGAAUCUUCAAAGUCGGCCCCUGCUGUGCUGGUGCCCUGCACAUGUGCAUGCUGGGGUUGCAAAUCCACACACCAGUGCACAUUUGACUCUGAGUGCCUUACCCUUGUUUGGGGGGAGUUUGAUUGCGGUCAAGCUGGUGCUCGAGUAUUUUCACACUCUGAAUGUAAAGGAAUAUGUCCAUGCAUAACAUGCAAAUGAA
RNAcentral lists this unclassified non-coding RNA (240 nucleotides) under soil metagenome. RNAcentral's name for it is "partial contains 5.8S ribosomal RNA, internal transcribed spacer 2, and large subunit ribosomal RNA". The record is from RNAcentral.